CACCUUUUGUGCUUAAGUGUAAGAUGCAUGACUACAUUGAUUGUGUACAUCUGAUGAGUUAAGUAUGGUAUGAUGAUGAUGCAUAUGAUAAGUAUGUGAAUAAUGGUUAUAUGAACACCAUAAGGGUGUUGUGUGAUAUGUAAUUGAUGAAUUCUGUGAUAUGUGAAAGAUGUCUUACUUGGUUAAGAAUGAUAUGAAUUAUGUGCAAGUAUGUGUUCUUAUGUUGAUGGAUAUGUGGAUUACUCUAUGUUCAUGAUUUGUUAUAUGUUAUGAUAUAUGAAGCGUUUAAGUUUUUAGGCUGGAAACCUUAGACCUGAGCCAUAGCUCUACGUUAAGGUAUAACAACGCCACCAACCCAAAGCUUCAUGUAUUAUGACUAAAGAUGUUUUGAGUUAUAUGAGAUGUGAUACAAUGCCUUGAUUGAAUACCAUCAACAUCAGUCAUGAACACGAACAUUGGCAUUUCAGCAUCAGCAUGUAUGCAUGGCAUGUACAUUUAUGUGAUACAUUAUUAUGUGAUAUAAGACCAUGCAUAUGGAUAUGAGAAAAGUUAUGAAAUGUCUUGAAAAGUCUUAUGUAAAGUUAAACAUUUUAAUGACACAAGGCUUAAGCAAAGUGAUAAUAAGAUGUUUAAAAAGGGUGCCACUGUUUUGAUGAAGCAAUCAAGUAAGUUCAGUAAAGAAGACGGAAGUCUAUAAGACUUAUAGUGGCUGCCCACUAGUGUGGGCUAGGUCAGAGUUGACCAUUCAGAUAUGUUUGCCAUGUUUCCGUCUUUCUCCUCCAUAUGUGUAAUAAGUAUGGCAGCUAUGGCAACGAUGAAAUGAGUGUUAUGAUGAGCCUAGCUGAGAUGAUGGCUAGCCGGAGGAGAACCCAUGGGAUUCUAUAUGAUAUGUGUAACAAGCCCUGCAGGCAUUGGCUGAAUCAAACAGUGUGCACAAGUGAUAUUGGGCCCAUAAAAAUGUGAAACUAAAAGAAAGAGCAUAAAAGUAAAGUUUGAAAGUGCAUGAGCAAUAAAUGGAAUGCAUAAGUAUAUAAGUCAGCAUAUUAAUAUAUGUGCACUACAAACUCACGACAUUCAUGUGUAUGUGUAUGCAUGAGAUUUGCUUACUGAGCGUUAGCUCAUUAUGUUAUUUUCCAACAUUUUUCCAGGUGUGGCUUUAGCUGUUGAGCAACUUGUGGAGCACGGACUCAGUAGCAAUGCAAUAAUGGUUUAGAGUUUUCAUAUGGCUGCCUUAAAUUUAAAGUAUUCAUACGUGUAAUAAUUUCUUCUAAUAAGUUUAUAUAAAAGUUUUAAAUUUUUCUGUAUUUCUUCGUAUCAUUUUAUUUAAUUCUUUUGGUCAAGUGCCUUACAUACUCGUAAACCCUAGAAUUACGAGUAUGUGGCAGACGUACCCUACCUUAGGGACGUUACAAAUGGUAUCAGAGCUUUGAGUUUGUAGAUGUCGUAUACUCGUUAUGUUAUUAGAUUUUGGGAUCUGAAAUGCUACUGAGUUCCGCCACAAGACAAGCCACACGUUAAUGGUUAGUAUAAUUUAUCCAUAUUUUAGUUAAUGUAUGUUAAUGAUGUUGUAUAAUUGUAUUAGAAACUCAUUGUGUGUUUGAGUUUCCAUGAUAUAAGUAUGAGUUUGGAUUAAAUGAAUAUUCUCAUGCACGGUAGAGAAAUUGAAGUUUGUUAUUUAUCUGAAUGCAUGCCUUUAUUAUUGAUGUGAUAAAUAAUUGAUGAUUUAUCGAUGUCGAUGUUUGGAUUGUUAAUUGAUAUUCUCAAGCUUUGAAAGUGAUCUAUCAGUUCAGUUAGUGUGUUAAGGGUUAAUAUGUCAGGUUAGUGUUUUGGAGAGCAGAGUUUUAGGUUGUUGCUGAGAGCACACACAAUAAGAGACUUUAGUGAAACAGUAGUAAUAUAUAGAAAAAAAAAAAAAAUACAUAAUACAUUAAGGAUUGGGGUUUUGGACACGUUCUACCUCGUCAAUCAACUUUUGUUGUUCAACUCUAAGGGUCUCCCCAGUAGUUUGCAGUGUCUGAAAUUUUUCCUUCAUAUCGACUGAGUAGUUAGCAAGAAGUGUAGUUAAAGUCCCAUUCUCCUUAGCCAACUUCUCCUUCUCUCGAGUCAAUGCCUUGUUGGCAUUUCUAAUGGUUAUCAUCUCUUGUUUUUGUGUUUCUAUAUACCUUUUCAAGUGGUCAACCUCUUGUUCUCUUGCAAGAACCCGUUGGCCUAGGUUUGAGACCGAUGCUGCCGCCUGAGUGGUAAGAACUAAGGAAUCUUUUACAGCUUGUAGGUCUGACCUAUGGGAUAAAAUUAUUUGGUCUUUAGGGGUGAGUAUGCUUUGACCUAUACUAAUGGCCACCUUUUUAUCGAGCAUAGCUGAAUCCUCCACCGUGACAAGGCCAGUAUCAGAAUAAAAUUUGGGAAGCCAAACUCUGGGAAAUUGAGUAUUUCGUUCUGGGAUGUGUACCGUAGGAUACACCAUUAGCUGUGGUAGGGGUGCAGAAAUUUGUGGUGAAGAUUCGAUAGUGGGAAGAUUUGGCUCAGGUAAAGCUAAAGUUAGGUCUAAGUUCAGCUGAGAUGAUGAGGAUGCCAUGGAUUGCUUAGCUUGAGUAAUGGACGGAAGUAAUAAUGAUUUGGUUUUCAAAAGCUUGAGAUUGAUUGUGUUUUAGUGUGUAUGUGAUGAAUUUUAUUUAUAGAAAAAUGUGUUGAACUGUUGGGUCAUUGGAUCCUUGAAUUUGUUUGUUUUCAAGAUAGAUAUCACAGAUUUUAUCUUGUUCAAUGUGUUACGCUAUCCUCUCUGAUGAUGAAAGUCAAACUUAUUAGAUGUUGUCGACAUGGAAAUCACUUCUAUUGAUUUUGCGAUCCUGAUUUGAACAUGGAAACAAUUUGUAAAUUGUUGAAUGAAUCGAGGUGAUAAAUGUUAUUUACUGAAUUACUCUGUAGUGUGAAUUACUUUCGGCGAUUAAAUUAUAGUAUAUUAGCUGUUUUAUCCCGAAAGUAAGAUAAUGUAUUACUUGUGUGAAGUGAUGACUGAGUAUUAUUGGUAUAGGUGUUGAAAUGAGACAUGUCCAACUUAUUAGACAUGUGAGAAUUAUUCGUUUUCGUAGAUGAAGUGGUGGAUUGGUCAGUCAAGACUUAUCCCAUGUUUUAUUCAAUGAAGGGAUACUAAGCUAAGUGUGUGAAUUUCCGAGUGGCCACGGUUAUUUGCAUUCUAGCAUAGUAUCAAUAUGCCCUUUAUUAUUUUAUACAUUUGGAAACAAUUUUGAUUUUUAAAUGUUUUCUUAGAGAAAGAAUGAGAGUCAGGCUUUUCUGAACUGGUACCUAAUGAAUGGCCUAUCUCACUAUUUCUCAUUCAGGGCAAGAAGUCGGUUUUGACAACGAAAGGGUUUCACAGAGACUUGGUUUUAAAGAAUAAUCUUCAUCGGCUAUAUAAUUGUUUUCUAGUUAUCCAAUUUUUUUUAUGCCGAAAAACUUUCUAUUGAACAAACUUGUUGCUCAAUUUAGCAUCUAUUAUCAAGGUAUAACCAGUCAUUUGCAUCUGCUUAAAAAAAAAAAAAAAAAAAUUGACUGUAAAACAUGAAGAUCAAGGAUGUUUUCAUGAUGAUGGUCAUUUUCUCUUCUUACGUUAUGUGGUUUGUGUUCAAAAGUAUGGAUGAUGAGGAUUCGUUUGUAUUUUCGUAUACAUUCAUUGUAAUUUAUACUAUUGUUAUAGCUUAUUUCCUUUCUAUCUAUAUUGUAGUCCUCAUGUGAGGUGUUUACACAUCCUCGCCUUUUUAUAUAUGAUAAGGAUUACAAGAAGUCAGGAAUAAGUUUUGUUUUCGGGGUGAAAGUAAGUGUUGUGUAUAAAAUCUUAUGCUGUGAAAUGUUGUUCUGUUUAUUUGUAAUGGUAGUUCUUGUCUCCGAUUAUCAAAUUUUAGUUUGAAAUUUCGAGGACGAAAUUAUUUUAACGGGGGAAGGAUUGUAAUAUCCAACAUUUUCAUAAUACAUUUAUUUAUUAUAAAUCAAAGUUUUAAUACAUAAAAUGUACAACUUUACAAAUUUAAGAAAUAGUAAUGGAAAAAUAGUGUUUAAAAUAUGAUUUUAUGUUUUUAAUGAGAUUAAAGAAAGAGAAACUUGAGUAGUCAAGUAUUGGACCCAAAUGUCAUAUAAUUUUAAUUGGGGAUUUUUAUAAAAUUAAGAAAGUUUGGCUAAAGGGCUUAUUUGAAAAGAAUUUUAGUAUUUUGGGUCCAAGUAUAAUUUUUAAAAAUAAAUAAAUAAAUAAAUAAAAUAAAAUAAAAAUAAAAUAAAAGGCUUCAGCCUUUCAUUUUACCCGAGCCCCUCUCUCUCUCUCCUCAGAAACUCUUUCCCUCUCUCUCUCUCUCUCUCUCUCUCCUCUGCGUAUUACUGUUGCCGACGACGCAGGAGUACUUUCCGGCCACCAUUUUUAGCCACGCGCCGGACCGUUGGAUUCAGAGGCCUCCGAACUAUCGACCCACGCGGGAAUCUAGAGCUCACUCGCCGAUUAAACGCCUCAACCACUCGAUUUAAGUUCGGCCACCCCGCGACUUCAAAGUUGCGAUUCGGCCACCUCGGGCAUCCGUUUGCCGAUCCGUCACCACCAUCGUGUUCCUCGUGUUGUGGGCUUCAAAACCCAAUAACUUGUUCCUACAUCUACCAUAGUUGGGUGGUGGGCCCACCACGAGCCACCGCGAUCCACCGUAGACCGACGGUCGAAACUUAGUGUUCGAGGUUCCGAAGUACGUUUUGAGUCUCAGAAAAUCAUCGUUUGACUUAUUGUGGAACCCGAUCAUUUUGGAUUUGUAUGGAUUUGAUUGAUUGACUCUUGGUGAGCCGUUUUAAAAUAAGCUAAGGACCUAAGGUGUGGCUUUAGCUGUUGAGCAACUUGUAGAGCACGGACUCAGUAGCAAUGCAAUAAUGGUUUAGAGUUUUCAUAUGGCUGCCUUAAAUUUAAAGUAUUCAUACGUGUAAUAAUUUCUUCUAAUAAGUUUAUAUAAAAGUUUUAAAUUUUUCUGUAUUUCUUCGUAUCAUUUUAUUUAAU
Long non-coding RNA from Humulus lupulus (European hop), 5020 nucleotides. RefSeq lists it as uncharacterized. The record is from RefSeq and is a predicted model, not a curated record. Lineage: Eukaryota; Viridiplantae; Streptophyta; Magnoliopsida; Rosales; Cannabaceae. The transcript has 3 exons.